This 497-nucleotide ribosomal RNA is filed under the name uncultured bacterium. Its description in RNAcentral is "partial 16S ribosomal RNA". It matches the Rfam family "Bacterial small subunit ribosomal RNA", at positions 28 to 507 of the family's 1533-position model. The record is from RNAcentral.
GAUGAACGCUGGCGGCGUGCCUAAUACAUGCAAGUCGAGCGAACGGACGAGAAGCUUGCUUCUCUGAUGUUAGCGGCGGACGGGUGAGUAACACGUGGAUAACCUACCUAUAAGACUGGGAUAACUUCGGGAAACCGGAGCUAAUACCGGAUGAUAUUUUGAACCGCAUGGUUCAAAAGUGAAAGACGGUCUUGCUGUCACUUAUAGAUGGAUCCGCGCUGCAUUAGCUAGUUGGUAAGGUAACGGCUUACCAAGGCAACGAUGCAUAGCCGACCUGAGAGGGUGAUCGGCCACACUGGAACUGAGACACGGUCCAGACUCCUACGGGAGGCAGCAGUAGGGAAUCUUCCGCAAAGGGCGAAAGCCUGACGGAGCAACGCCGCGUGAGUGAUGAAGGUCUUCGGAUCGUAAAACUCUGUUAUUAGGGAAGAACAUAUGUGUAAGUAACCGUGCACAUCUUGACGGUACCUAAUCAGAAAGCCACGGCUAACUACGUG